CGUUGGUGACGCGGAGGAUCAUU
RNAcentral lists this ribosomal RNA (23 nucleotides) under Pestalotiopsis neglecta. RNAcentral describes it as "partial 18S ribosomal RNA". Lineage: Eukaryota; Fungi; Ascomycota; Sordariomycetes; Amphisphaeriales; Sporocadaceae. The record is from RNAcentral.